This is a small nucleolar RNA of Microcebus murinus (gray mouse lemur), 134 nucleotides long. The record is from Ensembl. NCBI's taxonomy places the organism in Eukaryota, Metazoa, Chordata, Mammalia, Primates, Cheirogaleidae.
GCUCUCCCAGCUCUGCAUGGUCACACUAGGCUUCACUCGUGUGACUUUUGUGAUGUGGAGAGAAAGAAACGAUCUCCUCGGGACCUCGGAUUAGCCUUACAGUGGCUUCUCUUUCCCUGAGGGGUGCAACAGGU